UGGGCUUGACAUGGUGCUGCAAGCGCACGGAAACGUGUGACCUUCGAGGGUGCACCACAGAUGCUGCAUGGCUGUCGUCAGCUCGUGUCGUGAGAUGUUGGGUUAAGUCCCGCAACGAGCGCAACCCCCGUGGCGUGUUGCCAGCAUUAAGUUGGGGACUCACGCCAGACUGCCGGUGACAAACCGGAGGAAGGUGGGGAUGACGUUUACGUGCACUU
This 218-nucleotide unclassified non-coding RNA is filed under the name uncultured Rubrobacterales bacterium. RNAcentral describes it as "contains 16S-23S intergenic spacer region". It matches the Rfam family "Bacterial small subunit ribosomal RNA", at positions 976 to 1196 of the family's 1533-position model. The record is from RNAcentral. Lineage: Bacteria; Bacillati; Actinomycetota; Rubrobacteria; Rubrobacterales.